GAAAACAUGGAGCCUACCCACGGACCCAAGGGAAACUGGUGACAAAGCAAGUAUCUGCAAGGAAAAAAGAUAAUGAAGAUGCUGAAAUAAACAUCAUAUUUCAGAUGAGGCUGCUGAGACAUGGAUGUUGGAUGUCUGUUUUGUUGUACGGAAGUUGUACACAGGAGAAUGAGAAUGGUGCUAUAGUGAAGCUAUAGUGAAGCUACUCUGUGAAGCCAAGGUGACCUGAGCAGAUCACAAGUAAUUUUUCUAUGUGGCAAGUUCAGGAGCUAACAACUAAUGGAGUGACACGUGAGGGAAAUUGCAAACCGUUUUAGAACUGCUGGACAAUUCGUCAGCUCUUGCUUCAUUUGUCAUGUAUGUACAAAAGCUGCUAUACAUUAUUAUGCCUAUGCUGUAUUGCACUACUGUAGCCUAGAUGGGGAUAGUUUUGAUUAUUUCCUUUUCCUGAUAGGUAAAUGCUGAGCUGCUACUCAGUUUGAGCAGUUUUCUUAUUCAUACAGAUCAUUCAGCGGCCAAAGCUGGUUUUUUAUAGUUUAAUAGAAAGUAAAUGGGGAAUUGGCUUUACUGAAGUAGCUCAGGGGGAUGAAAACAUUAAGAUUCACUGUUGUCUGGGGAGUUUUUUUAGUUUUCUAAGUGAUCUUUAAGCAUCCAAGAAACAGUAGCUCAUUUGUUUAUUAAUACGCUAUUUAAUUGUUAUUGGUGUAUAUCCUAAGCAUUAAUGUCUAUUGCAAUUGAUAGUUGCUAUUUACAACAAA
Molecule: long non-coding RNA, 758 nt
Filed under: Numida meleagris (helmeted guineafowl)
Lineage: Eukaryota; Metazoa; Chordata; Aves; Galliformes; Numididae
Description: lncRNA (ENSNMEG00000019227.1)
Source: RNAcentral